CCCUUAGAUGUCCUGGGCCGCACGCGCGUUACACUGAUGCAUUCAACGAGCUUAUAACCUUGGCCGAGAGGCCUGGGCAAUCUUGUUAACGUGCAUCGUGAUAGGGAUAGAUUAUUGAAAUUAUUAAUCUUGAACGAGGAAUUCCUAGUAAACACAGAUCAUCAAUCUGCAUUGAUUACGUCCCUGCUCUUUGUACACACCGCCCGUCGCACCUACCGAUUGGAUGGUCCGGUGAAGCCUCGGGAUUGUGGUUCUUGCCGCUUUAUUGUGGCGUGACCGCGAGAACUUGUCUAAACCUUAUCAUCUAGAGGAAGGUAAAGUCGUAACA
This 328-nucleotide ribosomal RNA is filed under the name uncultured eukaryote. Its description in RNAcentral is "partial 18S ribosomal RNA". It matches the Rfam family "Eukaryotic small subunit ribosomal RNA", at positions 1470 to 1796 of the family's 1831-position model. The record is from RNAcentral.